UACGUAGGGUGCAAGCGUUAAUCGGAAUUACUGGGCGUAAAGCGUGCGCAGGCGGUCUGUUAAGUCAGCUGUGAAAUCCCCGGGCUCAACCUGGGAAUGGCGAUGAAGACUGCAAGGCUAGAAUCUGGCAGAGGGGGGUAGAAUUCCACGUGUAGCAGUGAAAUGCGUAGAGAUGUGGAGGAACACCGAUGGCGAAGGCAGCCCCCUGGGUCAAGAUUGACGCUCAUGCACGAAAGCGUGGGGAGCAAACAGG
This 253-nucleotide ribosomal RNA is filed under the name uncultured bacterium. RNAcentral describes it as "partial 16S ribosomal RNA". It matches the Rfam family "Bacterial small subunit ribosomal RNA", at positions 524 to 776 of the family's 1533-position model. The record is from RNAcentral.